Molecule: unclassified non-coding RNA, 1615 nt
Filed under: Hevea brasiliensis (rubber tree)
Lineage: Eukaryota; Viridiplantae; Streptophyta; Magnoliopsida; Malpighiales; Euphorbiaceae
Source: RNAcentral
UGUGUGUGUGUGUGUGUGUGUCUGAAGUCAAAGUUCCAUUUAAAUCGUGAUUCCUAAAUGUUAGAAAAAAAAAUAGAGAAAAAUGAAGUUUUGGAACUAGAAUGUGAAAAUGCAUGAAAGGACCUCCAAUCACUAUUCAUCCCCUCCCCAAUCUAAGUACCUAUAUCAAAAUUUAGCAACCAAAUCAUGACUAUUUUGUCACAGUAAUAAUUCAAGAGUUGAGAAAAGAAUGGAUAUAAUCAAUGAGUAAGGAAUAGAUAAUGGUGAAAAGGAUUCAAAAAUUGUUUAUAGUUCACAUACAAAUUGCUUUUGCUUACUGUCAAACACAAUAUGACAAAACUUAUGUUCAGAAGCACAAUCCCCUUUUAAGGCAAGUAUAGGACAAUAGCAGGGUCUUCAUAGCUUGUUGACAAUAUCACAAAAUCUCUCAUAAAAAGCAAACCAACAUUACACGCAGACCAAGAUAUCUCUACAACUAAUAGUUCUUAUAUAAAAACUGAAGAAAUACAGUCCAUAACCUCUCUUUAAUUAAUAGUGGGAAAAAGAACAUAAAAAGUAACAAAUUUAAAUUACACUCCAUUAUAUUAAUAAUGAAAGGAAUUCAACUACACAAAUGGGACAAACAAUAACCAAAUCGCUCAAUAACUAAAGCAUCUAACCCCUUCCAAACUUCUUGCCUUCGAGAUCCAUCAAUUUAACAAGGAAACAGAGCACAGGCUCAUCUUCAUCUAUCAUCAAGACAGAAACAACAAAAAAGUGUGUGUUUUAGCAGCUAUCAUUUGUAUUCCAAUUUAGACAUAUGCUCCUGUACAUGCAGAUUACUCAAACAUCAUGAAACAGAUACUCAAUUAUACAUCAAUAGCAAUAUGAGAUGUGAUAAAGAUGAAUAUCAUUUAAUCAUUUUGCGAACCCCACCCCCAACCCGUGCAAACUGCUUGGGGUGAAAUGUGUAGGCUGACAUACAGAUGAUACAAGCAUUAUACAGUUGGAAGGUCCUAAUCACUAUCCUAUAAAAUUGUAGACUUCAUUAAAGAUGCUAAUAUAAAGAUUACUCCCCAAUUAUGUUGUGAAUAUUAAAUCAUUGCCAUUUUGAAAUUACAGAGACACUGCCCACAGCACAGCACGGACCAACCCAAACCCAGCUCAAUCUUCAAUCCAAAGCUGUCAAUUCCAAAUGCAAUAAUAUGAAUAUCUUUCCUCCACUAACUAUUCUCCAAAAGGCAAUUAAAAACCUCAAGCCGCUGCUGCCCCUAAAACACACAAAGCUCAUCCAAUUCAAAGCCGGUGUUCAAACUUCAAACAACUCUUUAAUCACAUGACAACGCAUUACCCCAUGAACUAAAAUUCACGAGCUAGAAGCUCAAACAUGUGUCCCAUUGUGGAGAAUUUACACAAAACAAACGAAGAUUAUUGAGUAUUGCCUUUAGACAAGUUGGGAAAAUAUCUGACUUCAAAUUCACGCAGAACAACAAAAGAAAUCAUACGCCCAAAUCCGAAGGGCAUAAACAACACCUAGUUAAAAUUUCAUUUUGAAGCGUUCAGCUAGUGGAUGAAAAAAAAAAUUUGAAUAAGGAUAUCAUAAUAAGAACCCCUGUCCUGAGUUCCUAUAUAAAUA